Helianthus annuus (common sunflower) is the source of this 3324-nucleotide long non-coding RNA. RefSeq lists it as uncharacterized. The record is from RefSeq and is a predicted model, not a curated record. The transcript has 9 exons. Lineage: Eukaryota; Viridiplantae; Streptophyta; Magnoliopsida; Asterales; Asteraceae.
CAAAUAUCCAAACACAUGAGAGUUUCUUCUUUGUUUCCUCACCUUUGCACGCCAUGGAUCUGUAGAUUAUGAGUUUAAGGUUUCACCAAGUUUCAAAAUAAUGAGUUUCUUCAAGAUGGUCUCUUCUUUGCGAGUUUUCAUAAAUGAGAGAUAGAUCGGAAGAAGCAACAGAGACCGAGAUCUCAUGCCGGACCAGUUGAAGAUCAACGGUUUUGUGAGAUCUUCAGACAUGAGUACUACCCAGCGAAGUGUUUCGCAUUCUCUUGCCGCUGCAAUUCCUGAAUCACCAGCCUUUUGACUUUAGCUCCCAAGUAUGUGUAUUUGGGUUUUCACUAUUAUUCAAAGGAUUUUGAUUUGUGUGAUAGGAAUUUCUUAUCUGUUGUAAUUGACUAAGAUCGAUUUAGCAAGGGCCAAGGAGGAAGAAAGAAUAGGGUGAGUAGAAAAAGUGGGUUGAAUGAGUUGUCUAUUUUUACCUUUAUAAUUGCUCUUAUAAUUUGUAGGUUAUUGGAAACUUAAAGAGGCCUGAUCAACUCCGAGAUCAACUGUUUGUAGAUCCUCUACAUCAAGGAAGCUGGUAAGAAGCCCCUUCAUUGUGUUAUCUAUUUUGUUGGUUACUAUUUUUAGUGAUUCCAAUAUAUUGUUUCUUUAUAUAUCUCAUUUUGAGAUGUUAUGUCAAAAGCUGAAACUCAUACAAAAUCUUAACUUGAAAUCUAAUCAGAAGAAUGUUUUUUAUAUAAGUUUGUAAUAAAACUUGGACUAGCUGAUUUGUAUAAAUUGGCAUGAUCAUAUAAGUGUAAAGCUGAAUUUGUAUACUCAAUGACACAAAAGGCAAAGGUAGUAUUGGACUGGUACGCAUACGAAUUAUAAAUAAUUUAUACAUAGCAGGAAUCAAGAUUUUUGUGGGGUUUGGUUAUUGUUGAUUAAAGAUUAAAAAUCAAGAAGAUUUGAUAUGGGUUUAGUUUGAGGGGUGAAAGUGGUGAAUUGGGUGCUGAAAAAGUUAAAAAGAAAAUUGAUUUUGAUUGCAUUUGAGGGGUGAAAGUGUGAAUUUGGUGUGGAAAAGUUGAAAAAGAUUGGAUUUUGAUUCAUUUUGAGGGUUGAAAGCGGUGAAUUUGGUUUGUAGAAUUGAAAAAGAUUUGAUUUUAGGGGGUGAAAGUGGUGGUGCAAAAGCUGAAGAAGAUUUGGUUUGGUUGAUGGGAAUUGGUUUUAACAGGGGAAGGAAAGGGGGGUCAUGAGAGUCUUUCAAAGAUUCACUUUUAAAUCCCUUGAAGCUGAUAUUCAACAUGCCAAUACUCAAUACUCUGUAUCUAUAUCUCUCUCUCUAACUUCUUUCAAUUGAUUAUGUAAUUGAAUGUUAUGGUGUUUGAAACAAAAUUGAAUUUUUGAGCUCUUACAUGAUUUAAUUCUUGAGAUUGAAAGCGGUUUUCCAAAAGGAUUGUCGCGGAUUAUAGUGUCAAUUUCUAAUGGUUUGGUUUAUAAUAUUAUUUGCUGUUGAAGUGGUUUUUGAAUUGGAUGAUUACAGGGCAUCAGAUUAUCCAAGAGAAUAUGAUGGUGGUUGCCUUCGGAUGAGGUUAUCACACAACCCAUGUGCUCACUUCUUUCUCUUUUUUGUUUAAUGGAGUGAUUGUAAUCUUGCUGGUGCCCUUGGCUUACUCAGAAUCCUUAUUUAUAAUCUACAGAUCUGAUUUUGUAGAUUGAAAGAACAAUUUGCGAUUAAGGCACAAACGUGAUGUUACCGCCGCAACGCGCGUAAAAAAGGGUACUUUUGGUGUUUCACCAACAACACGCAUCAUCCUCACUUCUAAUUGCACAGAGACAGAAGGAGAAAGAAGUGAGAUAAGGAAGACGACGAUGAUAGCGAUUUUGGUUACAAAGCGGCGAUGAUGACGGAGAUGGCUGCGAAAAGGUUCAGUCGUUAGCGGCGGCGGCGGUUAGGGUUCCGCCAUGAAACAUGGUAUCGCCAUUGUUCUCUUUAUCAGAAUCGCUAUCGGGUGGGCUAAGUUCCAGGGUUCCGGCCGCCGUUCAAUUGAAGGUAAUGACGAUUAAGAAGGCAAUGAUGGAGGUUCUGGUUAUAGGCAUGUCGGUGACUUUAGAAACGAACUCCGUGACUCAACUAGGGUUCCAGCAAGAUUACGGGGCGCCUUUUUACACUAAAAGGGUCUUCUUCAGUUUAUUCAGACACCUAACUGGUCAGAUGUGAAUUUUACCACCCAUUUAGCUGAUGUUGUUUGUGGCUCCUCGAGCAUCUUUUGGUUUUAAGACCAAAGAAAGAACUGCAGCCGCUUCGUCUAAUGUCGGACCUCCAAAAACUGAUCAUCUAAAAAGAAAAGUUGCCCCAUAUCAACUUCCAGAUUCUAAGGCGAGGAGCCUGCCACAAAGCCCAUUACCAGUCAUGAGAAAAAUCGCUACCCUUGGCUUUCAGACUCCAAGGCCUCAAAGUCAAGUGAUUUACAGUCGAGUCAGAGUGGGGUGAUGCAUGACCCAAAGUGGUGCAGGAACUUCCUCGAGCGUAUGGUGGACACUGCUGAGAAAAAACAUUGCAAGGCAAUGACCCACGUCCAGUUAAAGGUGAUGGCUUUAAACGUGGUCUGUAGCAAGACGAUGGUGGUUAAUAGUGGUAACGGCCGCCUCCAGAGGCGAGGCAGGUGCCAGAUGCCAUGGUGACAACUACGUUGUUUUUCACGCCGACGGUGACGACGGAGUUGUUUUUCACUCCGGUGGUGGGAAGGUCGUAGAAACAAGGGGUUAUGGUUCCGUAAAUCCAACUAAUCUUAACCACCAGUUGUCAUUCCGCUUGACGUGACUGUAUCCAGGGUUUCAGUGGUGGCUGUGUUAACGGAAGAAAUACGUUUGUUGCCGCCAUUGGCUAUAAAGAAGGUUCAAUCUAUCUUUCUUCUUUGAUAACCUGGCUAUAAAGAAGAUUUGUUAGUAUCAGGCACUAACCUUAAAACAAUGGCAGAUCUGGAGCUAUAUUUCUAUGCUUGCUGCUUACUCCGUUAUGGUUCUUAUUCCGUACUUUCGGGUUCCGUUCUACAUGGGGAUACGGCGGCGGCGGCGGUAGUGGUGAACAGCGACGACAACCGCGGAGGUAUUAGUGAACAACGCCGACGACUUAGCAGCGGCUGGCCCUGCAGGUGUGGAUGGACCUGACGGUGGUUCAACAUGAUUGGCACCACCAGCGCCAAUUUCAGACAAUCGGAACCGAUGGAACCCUUAUCGACUGGAGAAACCCCCAAAAGUUCUUCGCUACAUGGUGAUGGAACGAAUGUAGAGACAAGAAUAGUCACGGCCAUGUGAAGUUCGUGUGGUGCUCCAACUAUGGCAAGU